RNAcentral lists this ribosomal RNA (520 nucleotides) under uncultured Entrophospora. Its description in RNAcentral is "SSU rRNA". It matches the Rfam family "Eukaryotic small subunit ribosomal RNA", at positions 569 to 1082 of the family's 1831-position model. Lineage: Eukaryota; Fungi; Glomeromycota; Glomeromycetes; Entrophosporales; Entrophosporaceae. The record is from RNAcentral.
AGCAGCCGCGGUAAUUCCAGCUCCAAUAGCGUAUAUUAAAGUUGUUGCAGUUAAAAAGCUCGUAGUUGAAUUUCGGGAUUGGCGCAUCGGUCGUGCCUCACGGGGUAUGAACUGGUGCAGUCAAUUUCUCACCUUCUGGAGAACCGCGAUGUCCUUAAUUGGAUGCCGCGGGGAACCAGGACCUUUACUUUGAAAAAUUAGAGUGUUUAAAGCAGGCAUUUUUGCUUGAAUACAUUAGCAUGGAAUAAUAAAAUAGGACGGCAUGGUUCUAUUUUGUUGGUUUCUAGGACCACCGUAAUGAUUAAUAGGGAUAGUUGGGGGCAUUAGUAUUCAAUUGUCAGAGGUGAAAUUCUUGGAUUUAUUGAAGUACUAACUACUGCGAAAGCAUUUGCCAAGGAUGUUUUCAUUAAUCAAGAACGAAAGUUAGGGGAUCGAAGACGAUCAGAUACCGUCGUAGUCUUAACCAUAAACUAUGACCGACUAGGAAUCAGACGAUGUUAAUUUUUAAUGUACUCGUUUG